Molecule: non-coding RNA, 111 nt
Filed under: Clostridium cavendishii
Lineage: Bacteria; Bacillati; Bacillota; Clostridia; Eubacteriales; Clostridiaceae
Also listed under: 1 other name
Description: SAM-I sequence
Rfam family: SAM riboswitch aptamer (S box leader)
About the family: The SAM riboswitch is found upstream of a number of genes which code for proteins involved in methionine or cysteine biosynthesis in Gram-positive bacteria. The SAM riboswitch acts at the level of transcription termination control.
Source: RNAcentral
UUCUUAUCAAGAGAAGUUGAGGGAUAGGCCCGAUGAAACUUCAGCAACCAGCCAAUUCAUUAUGGUAUGGUGCUAAUUCCUGCAGAGUUCAUGAGCUCUGGAAGAUGAGAA